Astatotilapia calliptera (eastern happy) is the source of this 1879-nucleotide long non-coding RNA. The record is from Ensembl. Lineage: Eukaryota; Metazoa; Chordata; Actinopteri; Cichliformes; Cichlidae.
UUUAAACAUAUGUUUCUGUUGUUACAGCUUCUUGAGAGAUGACUCAGUAUGCAAAUUAGCUGGAGUGUGUGUGUGACUGUGACUUUCAGGAAGAGGAAGCAUAGCAGAGACGAGAAGUGCAGAUUGGGGUAGGAAAUUUAUAGUUUAGUGAUUAUAUGAUGUCGUAAGGGGGUUUUAUGCUGAAUUGAAGUAUGUUAUAGAGCAUAAGGGGGUGAUUUUUGUGUGCAAAUUGAGUGGUUUUAAUGAGACUUUUGGUGUAUUGAGGAGGUGAAAUUAUGUGGUGGCAAGAUUUGUGUGUUUAAGGUUGUUGUGGUGAUGGGUUGAUUCUGUCAGGUAGGUUGUUGUUGUUAUUUUUGUUUUUAAUAGAGGGAGUUUUAGGAAACAUGGACAUGUCUAAAAUUGGGCCCAUUAUUUUGUAACAGUGCACUUAAAGAAAACCUGUCAGGUGAUUUUGUUUUGUUUUUAUGAGCUAACAAUCAGCUCUAUUUUUUUUUUCAUUUCUGUUUUAAGCAGGCCUGCAACAGUGAAUAACGGCGCUGAAAGUUCUCGGGAGGAGCAAAUAUAAGGGGGCUUUCCAGAUUACAAUUGGCUGAGGAGAGCUACCUGUGGGGACUGAUCAAGGUCGUAAGUCCCUGUAAAAAGGAUUUUAUGCGAGUCAAUCCAGUCCAAAAGCAUAAAGAAAUAUUUCCCUAUGGAAAAUAAAAAUGACUGAGCUCAUUUUGCUGAGGGUGGAGUAUCUGAUCGUGCGGGAAGCUCCACUAUCAGCAAAUAUAUGGUGUGACUGCAUGUGAGUGAAUGUGAGGGUGAAUAAAUGUGGACAAACAAUUUGUUUUUACCAGAGAAAAUUUCUGUUUUGUUUUAUUAGGUGGGGUUAGAUUAUGAGAUUAUAGUAUAUUGUUGGGAGAAUGCCAAAUGCUAAAGGGGAAAUAUUUUUUGAUGUAACUCAGUUACCAUUAAUUGUAGAAACACAUGACUGAUAACUGUUCUGUUUUAAGUUUAUUUUUAUGACAUAGAUUGGAUCAUGAGUGGGGAAAACUGAGCAGUUUUAAGUUUUGUAUAGUAUCUUGACACAUGAAAUGUAUCAAGAUAAAGGGGGGUUUAGGGUUUAAUAAUUUAAUUGCUUAAUAAUUUAGGAUCAUUUUAGGACCUUUUGGGUUUUUGAUCAUUUGGAUAUGGUAAAACUGAAACUGGUAUUUUUAAGUUAAGGUUAAAGGAUUAAAAGUGAACUUGUCACGGUUUGCGAGGCAAGCCGUGUGGAGUUGUAGAAAAGGACCCAAAAGGCGGCAGCUCUGGUGCAGGUGAAUAUUUAUUUACAACGGUGGGCACAAAACAGCACUGGUGGAAAAACAAGAAACCGGAAAACUGGGUAAGCUAAUAACACAAACCAGAAACGAGGAUGCAGGGAGACCGAGGGGAAACAAUAUAGACGAACCAGGAACUACAAUAUCAGAAGACACAACUUAAAUACACCCAGAGCACGGGGAGAACACAGACAUAACAGGCUGGGGGAAACAUGGAAUAAACACAAAGAGAGACGAGAGCUCAUAAAUAGACAGAGGGGCACAAGGGGGUAAGAGUCACAAAGGGAAAAAACACUUAGGGAACACCACAACAGGACACCUCAGAAAACCUGGCCUAAAUAAGGAGCGAAAAUACAAGGAACCAAGAAUGCUGGGCCAACAUGGCCCAGGACCAUGAAUCCUGUUUAGAAGAUACAAUGCCAGUUUUUCAAAGCUGUGAAUAAAUCUUAGAGGGAAAAUUAGUGAGGGUUGAAGGGGUAGAACAGGUUUGAUUUUUUGAUCUUUAGAAGAAGUGGUUAUAAUGUAGGCUUACACAUACAGAUAUUACAUAGGAGGUAUUUUUAGGAUAAAAGGGGGAG